UUGCUCGCGACGGGCUCUUUCUAGUAUCCCUGCUAUUUCCUGCUGGGACAGAAAGAUUCCAGAGGUCUUGCCUUUCGCUUUCCACCCCCUCCUCUCUCUCUCUCUCUCUCCGCUCUGCGUCGGCGGGAAGAAUUCCCUUUGAAGUGGCUUUCUCCCUUUUGGAAGGACCCCCCUGAUCGGUACUUCUUUGGGCGGGGGGCGGGAGGCGCGAGAGGAAGCAUCGCGCGCCCCUCAAUUCCGCCUGCUGCACAUCGACCGGGGCUGAGCCUUAGCUAGUUUUUCCCCUGCCCCCCUUCCCGGGCAUGCUUUGCUGGACAGGAGGGUAAGGGGGUGGGAUUUUUUCCUCAGCGCUGCUGCCGACCCCCUCCGCCCGCCCCAGGCGAAGAGCUUCACCGGCGCCGGAAAGCCGAGGAUACGGCUGGCGGAGGGGGGGGGGACGAAGGAGCGCGGCUAAAGAGGAUUUCUUCUCCUGCCUGGAUUUGCAUUGCGGCGGUUGUUCCAACGGUCGGGGAAGAAGAUCCUGCUUCCCCCCUCACGCCCUGCCGGGUCUCAGUUCGAUCUUCCUGCGAGCAGCCGCGAGCCAGCGCUGGGCUGGAGGGAUGUGAUACCUGGAGGUCCAGGAUGCUGGCGGCCUCUUUUUAAAAAGCCGGAGGAGAACAUCAGCCUUUCGAAUUACGACUGCGGAAGAAACAGCCGCUUCUCCCCUCCAGCACCUUGAUUUUCUGGUCCGGUUUCUCCUCCUCCCAUCCCCUUCCCUCCUCGCCCCUCUGUUGUUUCUCUUCGGGAUUCUGCCGCACCGCAGCAUCUUCCAAGCUGGAGCACCAUGGAGCUGGAGAACAUCGUAGCCAAUACAGUUUUACUGAAAGCCAGAGAAGGAGGUGGAGGGAAACGGAAAGGAAGGAGCAAGAAAUGGAGAGAGAUCCUCAAGUUCCCACACAUCAGCCAAUGCGAUGAGCUCCGGAAAGGGUUGGAACGAGAUUACAACAGUUUGUGUGACAAGCAACCCAUCGGCCGACUGCUUUUUCGACAGUUUUGUGAAACCCGGCUGGAACUCCUACGGUGUAUCCACUUCCUGGAUGCUGUGGCAGAAUAUGAGCUUUCUCCAGAUGAGAAACGUAAGGAAAUGGGAGAAGAAGUCAUUCGGCAGUUUUUCAACAAGGAGUCCCUGGGCUAUAUGGCAGAAAUUUGUGAACUUUUUAUGAACCAGUGCAUAGAAGACCUACAGAGAAGCCCUUGCAAGGAUCUCUUUGGCAGUUGUGUACAGCGCUUGCAUGAAUACCUGGGUGGUGCUCCUUUCACAAAUUACCAGGACAGUAUGUAUUUUGACAGAUUCCUCCAAUGGAAACACCUGGAGAGGCAAUCCGUGACCAAAGACACCUUCAGGCAAUACCGGAUCCUAGGCAAAGGAGGCUUCGGAGAGGUUUGUGCAUGCCAAGUACGUGCUACAGGGAAGAUGUAUGCUUGCAAAAAGCUGGAGAAGAAGCGCAUCAAGAAGCGGAAAGGGGAAGCAAUGGCUCUGAAUGAGAAGCAGAUCCUGGAGAAGGUCAAUAGCCGAUUUGUGGUCAGUUUGGCUUACGCGUAUGAAACCAAGGAUGCUCUGUGCCUGGUCCUCACAAUCAUGAAUGGAGGUGAUCUGAAGUUUCACAUCUACAACAUGGGCAACCCGGGUUUUGACAAUGAGCGGGUCACCUUCUACGCUGCAGAGAUUUGCUGUGGCCUUGAACAUUUGCACCAGGAGGGCAUUGUUUACAGGGACUUAAAGCCAGAGAACAUUCUCCUGGAUGAUGAUGGGCAUAUACGGAUCUCAGAUCUGGGGCUGGCCAUUAAGAUCCCCGAAGGUGACACCAUCCGUGGCCGUGUAGGAACUGUAGGCUACAUGGCUCCUGAAGUAAUUAACAAUGAGCGCUACUCCUUCAGCCCAGACUGGUGGGGACUUGGCUGCCUCAUCUAUGAGAUGAUUGAGGGCCAAUCACCCUUCCGGGCCCGCAAGGAACGGGUGAAGAGAGAAGAGGUAGAAAAGCGGGUUCAGGACGACCAGGAACAGUAUUCAGACAAGUUCUCUGAAGAUGCCAAAACCAUCUGCAAGUCGCUCCUGACUAAAGAUCCUAAGCAGCGGCUUGGAAACAAAGGUGAGGGGGCCGUCCAGGUGAAGCAGCAUCCAUUCUUCAGGACAAUCAACUUCAAGCGACUGGAAGCUGGGAUUAUGAAGCCCUCAUUUGUGCCAGAUCCUCGGGCUGUGUACUGUAAGGAUGUACUGGACAUUGAACAAUUCUCCACUGUGAAGGGUGUCAACCUAGACCAAACCGACAAUGACUUCUAUGCCAAAUUUGCCACAGGCUGUGUCCCAAUACCCUGGCAGAACGAGAUGAUCGAGACAGAAUGCUUUAAGGAUCUCAACAUCUUUGGACCAAAUGGCACCCGAUCCCCAGAUCUGGACUGGAAGCAGCUCCCUGACCCACCCAAGCGUAGCCUCUUGCAGAGGCUCUUUCGACGUAACCCAAGUGACUUCACCAUCGGCACCAACGUACAUUCCAACCUGUCGGCAGCCCCCUCACCAGCUUGGCCCAUGGCACAGGCUCCCUCCUGACCUCUGGAGCUAGCACUCAUCCUUGUCUUCUCAGGGUUGCCUUAGGCUGAUAUAUGGAAGUCCCUGUCUGGGGCCAGGCUCUGUUACUGCUGGGAGCCGAAGAAACACAGCCUUCCAAUCGGCAGGGCAGCAAUGGUCCAGAAGACCUUUGCCACCUCCUGGUGCUGAUGUGGAUUGGGAGCAUGGAGACUCUUCUUGUCCAGAACCUUGGCUGCUGCUUGUUGACAGGGUCUUCCUUCAUCUUUCUGUACUUUGACUGCACAGGGAGCAUCCAUGGCUCUCCCCCAUUUUCUUUGUCUCAUCACCUCCUGACCCAACUUUCACGGGAGAUCAGCUGGGGAGAUAUACCUGAGAAGGAAGGAUUUAAACACAGAAAGAACCACCAAUGGUGCCUGGAGAUGGCAGAGAUGGGGGCUGGAGUCUUACUGGAGAGAAAAAGAGAAUGCAUAGCUUGGACAAAAUUACAAUGGGGAUGAGAAAGACUCCCCACUCUUGUAUUGGUAUUUCCGGAGACUCAUGGAUAAGUGUGUGUUGGUUAGUGUGUGGAUGUGUAUUGAACUGCUAGCUCCUUGGAGUUCAUUCAGGGUUUUUCCAGGGAUCUCUCCCACCCACACCAUCAAUUCUACAGCCUGGGGCCAUUGCAAAGCCAGAACAUGGAAGACAAAGAAAAUUGAAGAGCAAUUGGUUGUCUUUCCUUCAGGACAUCCUUUCUUGGCUGGUCAUCUUCUAGCUGUGCUGGACUGUCCAGCACCUGCCAUCCCUUAGCAAUACAACCUUCAGACCAGAUUGUUGGGCAGGGUCAACUGGAAUCCAGGAUAUGUGGAAAUCCCCAGAUGCAGGAUGCUGCUUUAGAAGCACUCAAUAGGAAAAGACAGAGAGGCUGAGAGAAGAAGCAAGAGAAGGAGAAAGGACAACAGUGGAGAGGGGAAGGAAGACUCAACAUAGGAAAUUUUGUUUGCAAAUUUCUCCAAACCCAAACAGGAAGCAGGGCUCUGGAGCUAUGUUGAAGAACAGUGUGGAAGUUAGAUACUUGUAGCUCUCCAGAGGCUGGUGGAGCACAACUCUCGGCAUCUCUUACUCUAGAUCUUCCUAGGUGGCCCUGUUGGAAAUGGUCAUUUAACAACUUCUGGACAGCUAUAGAUUUUCUACUUGUAAAUAAGGCUAGAUUUUCUUUAGCUUAUAAUAUACUAUUGUAGUGUUCCAGUUUGACCCUGUUUUCCACCUUUGCUUCUCUGCCAUUUGUUUUUAUGAUCCUAGGAGGCUCUAAAGGAUAGGAUAAUAGAUCUAUGGACAAAGCUGCUGCUUUCCCUUCUGGCUGCCAGAGUGUGGUGCUCUUUCACUGAUUUAUGUGGCUCAGGUUGAGACUGAAACAAUGCAUCCAUUCUAAGAUAACCACAGGGAGCUUCCCAAAUUCUGAGGGUCUCCCUUCCAAAGUAAUUUGCAAAGGAUUGGCUCUAAAUGGCUACAGCCAUCACACAUUGCAAAGGUCAGGGGAAGAUAGAUCUAUUUUUAUCAGAAUUCCUUCUCUUUAUCUUAUCACUUGGCUGCUACAUGUCCUGCUGAAGGAAGGGCUUGCUCUCAGCCUGGUGCUUUCUUUUUUUAAAUAGGCAGAGAUGUCCUUGGAAUAGGAAGAACUUUCUGGGUGAAAUAUCAGGGAAACUCAUUCUCAGCAGUCAGACUUCAGCCUGGGAAUUGCCCUCUGAUCCUCCAGCAGCAGGUGUGAAAAUUUGGGCUCACCCUUGACAAGCUGAGCCCUAAUGAACAGCUUGACCCAGGUAGUGAAGCUCAUCUGUUCAUUAAAUCCCAAGUUCUGGCAAGCCCCGUCUAGAAAGGUUGAUUUCUGGAGGCUUAACUCAUUAAGAAAGACUGAAGACCAAGUCUGUCUUCGAGACCAGAGAGACAGGAGAGAACUUGGGGCCUUUCUCUUGUGCAAGUGACAUCAUGCUGAUGUUUUGAAUGGAUGCCUGACUUUUAAUAACUGUAUGGUAGGCAAAGGAUCCACCAGUAGAACCAGAAAGAAAUUGCAAUAUUUUUUUCUGGGUGUGAUUGUUUAAAAACUGCACAAAUAUGGAUAAUAGUCAAGGAAAUAGAGACUUCUCUUAAUGCCCAAGGUAAACAACUGAACUUCCUGAGCUGUUGAUAUUUUUCCACUCCUUACUUUUAUUUUUUGGAAUCUCAGUUCCUUCUCUACUUCAGUUGCCUCUCACUAAAUCUGUAGCAUGAAGAUUUGUUUUAAAACAAAAACAAUCUAAGUAAAUAGGCAUAAAAUCCUGGUACAGGGGCCACAUACCCACUUUGCAUCCUUGCUCUGCCCACCAGGACCCUUCCAAAAACGUAAGUGCUACACAUGCCCCUUGAAAGUUGCCUGCUUUUUUCCAGGUGCCUGUCUAAUGACAUUUCACUAAAAGGUCAAGCAAGAGAUGUUUGCAAAGAGAAGGAGGCCUUGCAUAGGGAAAACAUACAGCAGCAAAAAGAGGGCCAAGCUUCUUUCCCACCUUCCAUUUCUGCACAAAAUUUGACUCCACUUGUGGAUUAUUCCACAAAGCUUCCUGCAUUACCAUUAGAACACAAAUGCAGAGUGGGGAUUUGGAUUGCUCUGACUUUCAAGAACAGAGGUUCUAGAAAGAACCUCCUGCUCUAAUAUUAACAGGUCAGGCAGACAAUGGUUCAGGUUGCUGUAAAGAGCUGUGGGCGGGCUUUAUGACAGAUUGGGCAUGAAUUUUAUGGCAAAAUGGAACACCGCAAGGGGAAACUUGGAUCUAUUCAAUUAACUCCUUUGUUGAGCCUUAUCAGCAGUCUAAAGUAGAAAGGUCUACCAUAAUGGGAGAAGUUAGACUAUGAUCUUUGAUCUUCCUUUCUGCUCUGUUUAAACAGCUUAUCUUCUCUGCCAUGUGUUGGCAGAGUACUUGAGGCAGGGGGCAUGGUGUUCAUACUAGAAGACAUGCAUAAAGCUUUUCCACAUGAAGGAGGAUCUGUUCAAAUCCAGCAUCUUUGAGCAGACAUGAUGGGGCCCAACAAUGACCUCAUCGAUGCCUGCUCCCCUUCUUAAAGAUGCAAAAGAUUCCGUUGCCCAAAUGGCUUUGUACAAGCAGUCCUCAACUUAUGACCACAACUGAGACCAGGCUUUCCAUUGUUAAGUGAGAUGGUUGUUGAAUGAGUCAUUGCCCAAUUGUAUCACCUUCUGUGCCCCAGUUCUUCAGCAAAUCCGGCUUCCUCUAUUGAGUUGAGUCAUUGGAAGUUGGCUGGGAAGGUUCCAAGUGGUGAUCACAUGACCCUAGGGUGCUACAACUGUCAUAAAUAUAGGCUGAAUUGCCGAGCGCCUGAAUUUUGAUCAAGUGACCGUGGGAUGUUGCCACUGUUAUAAGUAUGAGAACUAGUUGUAAGUUACUUUUUUCACCACUGUUGUAAUUUUGAACAGUUGCUAAAUGGAUGUAAGUAGGGGACUACCUGUAGGAUUUCCACUGCCCUCUAAUAGAAGGAAAGACAUCUCAGCAGUAACAGAAUAACAGAGUUGGGAGGGACCUUGUAGGUCUUCUAGUUCAACCCCUGUUCAGGCAGGAAACCCUAUACCAUUUCAGACAAAUUGUAAUCCAAUCACUUCUUAAAAACUUCCAGUGUUGGAGCAUCCACAAUUUCUGGAGGCAAGUUGUUCCACUGAUUAAAUUUUUUCUUAGUUUUAGGUCACUUUUCUGCUUGAUUAGUUUCCAUUUGUUGCCUCUUGUCCUACCUUUACGUGCUUUGGAGAACACCUUGACUCCCUCUCCUUUGUGGCAACCCCAUUAAUGCCAACCUGACCCAUUGUGCAAGAUUUUGGAGAAUCUGCUAAUUGAAAUAGUAGCCUCUCUUGACAUAUUGACUCCUAGAAUUCUUCCAAAAACGUAACUGGUAGAAAGGGAAUUGAUUCUAUAGAUGGGUCAUCCAAUGAAUGGAUGGAUUGGGUGGAUUGUUGGAGCCCUGACACAGUGUUUAUAUCAUUUCAUGUUAAUUCAAUCUAUAAAAUCAGUUACAGACUGAGAGGGGCUUGGUCCAAAAUAGGUGAGCUGCUGCUGGGAUUUAAUUGGCCAAUAGUCACAUAUUGUGAGCACUCUGCCUAAACCUGUCUUGGCUCAAUCCCCAUCACAUACUUUAUUGCAGACCUCUUUCUCACAUACACAUACCUACAGACAAGGAUUGGGCAAAAAAAAAAAUACAACUUUCAGCCAAAAUCAGGAGGAGAGAGAAAGAGGAAAAUAUCUGAAAUUGUGAUUUGCACAUCACACUAAGCCAUACAAUGGUUGGCUGGCCUGGAGUUCAGUGUAACGUUUGUUUGCAGCCGGGUAUAGUUUAUUGAAUAAAUUGUGGUUAUACAGUGGCCUGGUGUGAUGGGUGAACCUCAUCUAGGUGAGAACCUCCAAAGGAACCAAAUAGGAAGAAACUUGAAAGGACUAUGAGCAGAAUGUUAAGGAACUGUUGCCUUCUUCGUCUGAGAAGAACAAAAGGAGGAAAUAUUCUGUGGGUGGAGUGAUCCUCUUGACUUCAGACCCUUACACUUUUUUUGUAUUUCCCUUUUCUUUGUACAUCAGUGUUGUUGGCGUUGGUCUAAUGCUGGCUUUUUAUUUCUUUCUCUUUUUUUACACUGCUCAUUUCUGAUUCUGGAGCAUUUGGGUUCUGACUUCUUGGGUUUUUAUUUUGUACAUUUGUAAAUAUUUGUAUGUUGAAUGUUUGGAUGUACAUUUUUAAACUUGAAAAAGCUGCAAGCCAAGCCAUGUUUGGAAAGGUACCCCUAAUGCUUCGGGGUAUUUUUUUUUAAUUGGGAAUACAGAGGGAGGUGGGAGGAAAGAAAUGAAUCAAAAGUUAUUAUAAUAUAAAGUCCCUAUUCCAGUCAAAGGAAGCCAGAGCAGAGAGGGGGGAAAUUAUCUCAAUCAGUCAACUGGGAUUUCUAUUCCUCCCGAUUUUAAAAUUUCAUACAGUAUAUAUGUACUAUGGUUGCUGUUUUUUCUUGUUACUUAUUCCCAGGGCUGUGUGUAAUCUGCAUUGAAUAAAACAUAUACACCAAAUCUCCACCAAAAAGAGUUGCAUUCUCUGAAUUACCUGAUAAAGCCAGUUUGACCUUAAGGUACCGGGCCAAAAACUAGGAGACUGCGAGUUCUAGUCCUCCUUUGGCAAGAAAGAUGGCUGGGUGACCUUGAGCCAAUCACCAGGAGGCUGUGAACUCUAGUCCUGUCUUAGCCAUGAAAACCAGAUAGGUAACUUCGGAUCAGGAAGGUAAAGGCAAAUCUUACCAAGAAAACCGAAAGAAUUGUCCAAGCAGUUACCAGGAAACAAAAAUGACACACACAUUCAAAGGGGUGGUA
This is a non-coding RNA of Pseudonaja textilis, 7920 nucleotides long. Lineage: Eukaryota; Metazoa; Chordata; Lepidosauria; Squamata; Elapidae. The record is from RefSeq and is a predicted model, not a curated record.